GCUACCUUCGGGCGAGGAGCCGCGGGAAUGCGGGGGGUCCUAGCGUUGUUCCGAAUUACUUGGCGUAAAGGGAUCGCAGGCGGAUUGUUAAGUCUAAAGUGGAAGCCCGGGGCGCAACCUCGGACGUGCUUUGGAUACUGGCAGUCUUGAGUUUGUGAGAGGAAAGCGGAAUUCAGGGUGUAGCGGUGAAAUGCUUAGAUAUCCUGAGGAACACCAGUGGCGAAAGCGGCUUUCUGGCACAUAACUGACGCUGAGGCUCGAAAGCGUGGGGAGCGAACGGGAUUAGAUACCCGUGUAGUC
This 300-nucleotide ribosomal RNA is filed under the name uncultured Bacillus sp. Its description in RNAcentral is "bacterial SSU rRNA". It matches the Rfam family "Bacterial small subunit ribosomal RNA", at positions 496 to 795 of the family's 1533-position model. The record is from RNAcentral. Lineage: Bacteria; Bacillati; Bacillota; Bacilli; Caryophanales; Bacillaceae.